UGGGGAAUAUUGCACAAUGGGGGAAACCCUGAUGCAGCAACGCCGCGUGAAGGAAGAAGGCCUUUGGGUCGUAAACUUCUGUUCUAAGGGAAGAAAAGGACUGUACCUUAGGAGCAAGUCCCGGCUAACUACGUGCCAGCAGCCGCGGUAAUACGUAGGGGGCAAGCGUUAUCCGGAAUUAUUGGGCGUAAAGAGUGCGUAGGUGGUUACCUAAGCAGGGGGUGAAAGGCAUUGGCUUAACCAAUGUUAGCCCCCUGAACUGGGCUACUUGAGUGCAGGAGAGGAAAGCGGAAUUCCUAGUGUAGCGGUGAAAUGCGUAGAUAUUAGGAGGAACACCAGUGGCGAAGGCGGCUUUCUGGACUGUUACUGACACUGAGGCACGAAAGUGUGGGGAGCAAACAGGAUUAGAUACCCUGGUAGU
RNAcentral lists this ribosomal RNA (421 nucleotides) under uncultured bacterium. Its description in RNAcentral is "bacterial SSU rRNA". It matches the Rfam family "Bacterial small subunit ribosomal RNA", at positions 355 to 794 of the family's 1533-position model. The record is from RNAcentral.